UACUCAUGUCUCUGAGUCUCUGCUGAAGAGAGCAAAUGCCUCCGUCUCUUUCUCACCCACUUAUGCUCAUGUGUCCUGCCCUGGAGAUGAAAAUAUCAGCGUCACCAUGCAUGGAGCAACCAGCCUGCCCCCGCUGAGAGAUGGAGGUACCCCACUGCCAUUUGCUAUUCUGUCCUGCUACAUGGUAAGGGCGAUGGUGUCUUAGCUGAGAGUGAC
Pygocentrus nattereri (red-bellied piranha) is the source of this 216-nucleotide long non-coding RNA. Lineage: Eukaryota; Metazoa; Chordata; Actinopteri; Characiformes; Serrasalmidae. The record is from Ensembl.